GACGAACGCUGGCGGCGUGCUUAACACAUGCAAGUCGAACGAUGAACCCGGAGCUUGCUCUGGGGGAUUAGUGGCGAACGGGUGAGUAACACGUGAGUAACCCGCCCUGGACUCUGGGAUAAGCGUUGGAAACGACGUCUAAUACCGGAUAGGACCUUGGAUCGCAUGAUCUGGGGUGGAAAGUUUUUUCGGUCUGGGAUGGACUCGCGGCCUAUCAGCUUGUUGGUGAGGUAAUGGCUCACCAAGGCGUCGACGGGUAGCCGGCCUGAGAGGGUGACCGGCCACACUGGGACUGAGACACGGCCCAGACUCCUACGGGAGGCAGCAGUGGGGAAUAUUGCACAAUGGGCGAAAGCCUGAUGCAGCAACGCCGCGUGCGGGAUGACGGCCUUCGGGUUGUAAACCGCUUUUAGUAGGGAAGAAGGGCUUCGGCUUGACGGUACCUGCAGAAAAAGGACCGGCUAACUACGUG
Molecule: ribosomal RNA, 472 nt
Filed under: uncultured bacterium
Lineage: Bacteria
Description: partial 16S ribosomal RNA
Rfam family: Bacterial small subunit ribosomal RNA
Source: RNAcentral